Molecule: long non-coding RNA, 538 nt
Organism: Phasianus colchicus (ring-necked pheasant)
Lineage: Eukaryota; Metazoa; Chordata; Aves; Galliformes; Phasianidae
Source: RefSeq, a predicted model, not a curated record
CACAAUUAAAAUUGCUUUCAGAUCCUCUCCCUAUUCAGAAUAAGUAGAAAAGGGUUUGAAACAAAACUAUUACUCUGAGCAAGUAUUGUUUUGUCAUAGAAUCAUAGAAUCCUUAGAGUUGGAAGGGACCUCUGAGGGCCAUCUGGUCCAACUCCUCAGUUUGGAGGAGUUUGAAGUAUGAUCCUGGCUAUUGUUUUUCUAAGAGUCCUUAACUUUAUGUUUUGAUCCAAAAAAUGUUCCAGGUGAGAUGGUUUUGCUCUGAAAUCAGAUGUUAGCAGAUGUCAGCUACCUGUGGCAGAGCAGAUGCCCCGUGAUGGCUGGAUUUGCAGGUUCAGGGGUGUGAAUUUGGAAGAUACUUAAUGAUUUACAAAGAUGAUUAAAACAUUCUUUUCUGAAAAUGCAUAAACUAGACAUGUCCAGCAAUGUCCAUGCAUGGAAGAAAAGGAGUAUUUUAUUUUUGACUAUAGUCAGACCGAGAUUUCAGCCCUUGAAAUCAGCCUCUUAUUAAAAUGCAAAAGUAGAACAUGGUGAAAAGAAA